RNAcentral lists this ribosomal RNA (719 nucleotides) under uncultured Bacteroidota bacterium. RNAcentral's name for it is "bacterial SSU rRNA". It matches the Rfam family "Bacterial small subunit ribosomal RNA", at positions 127 to 849 of the family's 1533-position model. The record is from RNAcentral. Lineage: Bacteria; Pseudomonadati; Bacteroidota.
UACCUUACAUUGGGGGAUAGCCUUUCGAAAGGGAGAUUAAUACCGCAUAAGACAGUAGCUGGGCAUCCAGCAGCUGUUAAAGAUUUAUCGAUGUAAGCUGGGCAUGCGUCCAAUUAGCUAGUUGGUGAGGUAACGGCUCACCAAGGCUAUGAUUGGUAGGGGAACUGAGAGGUCAAUCCCCCACACUGGCACUGAGAUACGGGCCAGACUCCUACGGGAGGCAGCAGUAGGGAAUAUUGGGCAAUGGACGCAAGUCUGACCCAGCCAUGCCGCGUGCAGGAUGAAGGCGUUAUGCGUUGUAAACUGCUUUUAUACAGGAAGAAACGACUCUUGCGAGAGGCAUUGACGGUACUGUAUGAAUAAGCACCGGCUAACUCCGUGCCAGCAGCCGCGGUAUACGGAGGGUGCAAGCGUUGUCCGGAUUUAUUGGGUUUAAAGGGUGCGCAGGUGGUUUAUUAAGUCAGUGGUGAAAGACGGUCGCUCAACGAUUGCAGUGCCAUUGAAACUGGUAGACUUGAGUAAAGUAGAGGUGGGCGGAAUUGAUAGUGUAGCGGUGAAAUGCAUAGAUAUUAUCAAGAACUCCAAUUGCGUAGGCAGCUCACUUGGCUUUUACUGACACUCAUGCACGAAAGUGUGGGUAUCAAACAGGAUUAGAUACCCUGGUAGUCCACACUGUAAACGAUGAUAACUAGGUGUCGGCCGAAUCUGGUCGGUGCCAC